This is a long non-coding RNA of Homo sapiens (human), 412 nucleotides long. RefSeq lists it as uncharacterized. Lineage: Eukaryota; Metazoa; Chordata; Mammalia; Primates; Hominidae. The transcript has 2 exons. The record is from RefSeq and is a predicted model, not a curated record.
CACAGCACCGGAGAAACCGGAGAAACCGGAGAAACCGGGAACGGCACAUGGGGCACCUCCGUGCUAUUUUUGCAACUUACUCUCAACAGAAGCCAUGAACAGCAUAUUGGAUAUAACAGAUAGCUAAACUAAUGACUCUAGAAAUUCUCUGAGCACCCAGAAGAAAAGAUAAAGAGGCGAAAAUAAUAAAUAACAAGACAAGAAAAAGGCAAGAACGCAAAAUAUCUGUUGGGUAUUCCUGGAGAUUCCAGAAGGCAAGCGUGAGCAGAGAAGUAAUGAUGGAAGAAAUAAGAGAUGAAAAGUGAUCAAAUAUAGAAAUUAUAUAAGCCAUGUUGUGAUAAUAAUGCAAUAAAACUAAAAUUCAAUAGUACAAGGAAAAACAGGGAAAAAUAAAACCUAUUUCAAACUAAAA